CACCGCGGUUAUACGAGUGACUCACAUUAAUAUUUCCUCGGCGUAAAGAGUGAUUUAAGAAAUAUCUAUAGUGAUUAAAGUUAAGACCUCGUCAAACUGUUAUACGUACCCACGAGUGGAACCAUCAACAACGAAAGUGACUUUAUCCAUCUAGAAAACUUGACGUCACGACAGUUAGACCU
This 182-nucleotide ribosomal RNA is filed under the name Megachasma pelagios. RNAcentral describes it as "partial 12S ribosomal RNA". The record is from RNAcentral. Lineage: Eukaryota; Metazoa; Chordata; Chondrichthyes; Lamniformes; Megachasmidae.